RNAcentral lists this ribosomal RNA (449 nucleotides) under uncultured bacterium. RNAcentral's name for it is "partial 16S ribosomal RNA". It matches the Rfam family "Bacterial small subunit ribosomal RNA", at positions 29 to 523 of the family's 1533-position model. The record is from RNAcentral.
AACGAACGCUGGCGGCAUGCCUAACACAUGCAAGUCGAACGAGAUCUUCGGGUCUAGUGGCGCACGGGUGCGUAACGCGUGGGAAUCUGCGCUUUGGAUCGGAAUAACAGGUGGAAACGACUGCUAAUACCGGAUGAUGACGAAAGUCCAAAGAUUUAUCGCCAGAGGAGGAGCCAGCGUAGGAUUAGCUAGUUGGUGUGGUAAAGGCGCACCAAGGCGACGAUCCUUAGCUGGUCUGAGAGGAUGAUCAGCCACACUGGGACUGAGACACGGCCCAGACUCCUACGGGAGGCAGCAGUGGGGAAUAUUGGACAAUGGGCGAAAGCCUGAUCCAGCAAUGCCGCGUGAGUGAUGAAGGCCUUAGGGUUGUAAAGCUCUUUUACCCGGGAUGAUAAUGACAGUACCGGGAGAAUAAGCUCCGGCUAACUCCGUGCCAGCCGCCGCCGUAA